UAUAAAGAUAUAAAAUCUAUAUGAUUUCGUUGAGAUUCAUAUUUUAAAAAGUGGACACAAUAUGGUACACUAACUUUCAAUUUUUUUUCAUUUGUUAUUUUACAACACGGAGAAAAAUAAAAGGUAAAAUUUACAGAAAAAAAGUAGUUUUUACCUUUUUAGUGAACAAAUGAGGGAUACCUAGAGGAAACGGGUAAAAUUUACCAAAAAAAAUGUCAUUAGAUUGAAGCUGUGCUUUACGUUUCAACGGAGUUAAAUUUACAUUUACUUUUUGUUAUCGCUUCCAUUACUUCGAAAAAAGUGUAGCUCGAGAAAUGGAUCAACUAGUCCAACAAAUAACUUUGACCGAAGAAGUUCAAACCUCCAAUCUGAUGAACAGCAAUUAUCGUUUAGAUUACAAGAGGCUGUCGAAGAUGAAGACCAACUUUUUGGCUUCGAGUAUGCAGAUGCAAAUAUGAUCACUUGGGAAACAAUAUUUUUUGUAUUAAAAAUAUUUUGAAGACGAUUCGUUCCCAGAGAAGGAGAUUUCUAAUUGAGACUGACGUAAUAUUGUCAUUUUGCUUGUCAUUGAAAAGUCAUUAAAGCUUAUACUUAAAAACUUAUGUCUUAAAAAAAAAAAAAUAACAACAAAUGGAUUGUUAAUAUAAGAC
RNAcentral lists this long non-coding RNA (650 nucleotides) under Aphidius gifuensis. Its description in RNAcentral is "uncharacterized LOC122851918, transcript variant X1". The record is from RNAcentral. Lineage: Eukaryota; Metazoa; Arthropoda; Insecta; Hymenoptera; Braconidae.